Molecule: ribosomal RNA, 560 nt
Filed under: Escherichia coli
Lineage: Bacteria; Pseudomonadati; Pseudomonadota; Gammaproteobacteria; Enterobacterales; Enterobacteriaceae
Description: partial 23S ribosomal RNA
Rfam family: Bacterial large subunit ribosomal RNA
Source: RNAcentral
CCAUGCACCGAAGCUGCGGCAGCGACGCUUAUGCGUUGUUGGGUAGGGGAGCGUUCUGUAAGCCUGUGAAGGUGUACUGUGAGGUAUGCUGGAGGUAUCAGAAGUGCGAAUGCUGACAUAAGUAACGAUAAAGCGGGUGAAAAGCCCGCUCGCCGGAAGACCAAGGGUUCCUGUCCAACGUUAAUCGGGGCAGGGUGAGUCGACCCCUAAGGCGAGGCCGAAAGGCGUAGUCGAUGGGAAACAGGUUAAUAUUCCUGUACUUGGUGUUACUGCGAAGGGGGGACGGAGAAGGCUAUGUUGGCCGGGCGACGGUUGUCCCGGUUUAAGCGUGUAGGCUGGUUUUCCAGGCAAAUCCGGAAAAUCAAGGCUGAGGCGUGAUGACGAGGCACUACGGUGCUGAAGCAACAAAUGCCCUGCUUCCAGGAAAAGCCUCUAAGCAUCAGGUAACAUCAAAUCGUACCCCAAACCGACACAGGUGGUCAGGUAGAGAAUACCAAGGCGCUUGAGAGAACUCGGGUGAAGGAACUAGGCAAAAUGGUGCCGUAACUUCGGGAGAAGGC